This 658-nucleotide ribosomal RNA is filed under the name Saprolegnia parasitica. RNAcentral's name for it is "eukaryotic LSU rRNA". It matches the Rfam family "Eukaryotic large subunit ribosomal RNA", at positions 72 to 632 of the family's 3401-position model. Lineage: Eukaryota; Oomycota; Saprolegniomycetes; Saprolegniales; Saprolegniaceae. The record is from RNAcentral.
GGAUUCCCCCAGUAACGGCGAGUGAAGCGGGAAGAGCUCAAGCUUAAAAUCUCCAUACUUGUAUGGCGAAUUGUAGUCUAUUGAGGCUGUUGUCAGCAUCGCGAUUGGGGACAAGUCCCUUGGAAAAGGGCAGCAUGGAGGGUGAUACUCCCGUCUCUGCUCCAAUCUGCGGUGUGUACGAUACGCUUUCUUUGAGUCGAGUUGUUUGGGAAUACAGCUCAAAGUAGGUGGUAAAUUCCAUCUAAAGCUAAAUAUUGGUGCGAGACCGAUAGCGAACAAGUACCGUGAGGGAAAGAUGAAAAGAACUUUGAAAAGAGAGUUAAAGAGUACCUGAAACUGUUGAAAGGGAACCGUAUCGUUUCCAGUGUUGUAUCCUAUGCAUAUUUCAUUCGUGGAGUAAUUUACGGGUGCCCUGUGCAUGGGUGUGACGUCAGGGUCAGUUUGUAUGCUGCGGGAGAUGGUCAGUGAGGAGGUGCGUCACUUCGGUGAAAGUUAUAUCUCGCUGUCUAGUAGCCGUGGUUGAGACUGAGGUGCCUACAACAUGCCUUAAGGUUCUAUGUUGUCUCGUGUUGGUGACUGCUUUGAUAGCUUGCUAUGUCUGUGGUUUAUUAAUGCGAUUGAUGAUGUGGAUAACUUUUGCUGUUCGGGACUCUGGCGA